This 73-nucleotide transfer RNA is filed under the name Candidatus Heimdallarchaeota archaeon. RNAcentral's name for it is "tRNA-Ala". It matches the Rfam family "tRNA". Rfam says of the family: Transfer RNA (tRNA) molecules are approximately 80 nucleotides in length. Their secondary structure includes four short double-helical elements and three loops (D, anti-codon, and T loops). Further hydrogen bonds mediate the characteristic L-shaped molecular structure. tRNAs have two regions of fundamental functional importance: the anti-codon, which is responsible for specific mRNA codon recognition, and the 3' end, to which the tRNAs corresponding amino acid is attached (by aminoacyl-tRNA synthetases). tRNAs cope with the degeneracy of the genetic code in two manners: having more than one tRNA (with a specific anti-codon) for a particular amino acid; and 'wobble' base-pairing, i.e. permitting non-standard base-pairing at the 3rd anti-codon position. Lineage: Archaea; Promethearchaeati; Candidatus Heimdallarchaeota. The record is from RNAcentral.
GGGCUGGUAGCUCAGUUGGUAGAUCGCUUCGCUUGCACCGAAGAGGCCACGGGUUCAAAUCCCGUCCAGUCCA